RNAcentral lists this long non-coding RNA (427 nucleotides) under Saimiri boliviensis boliviensis (Bolivian squirrel monkey). RNAcentral describes it as "lncRNA (ENSSBOG00000036438.1)". The record is from RNAcentral. Lineage: Eukaryota; Metazoa; Chordata; Mammalia; Primates; Cebidae.
GGGGUAACACAGAGAUGGCAAUUAAUUCUGCCUGGAGAAACAGCAGUGAAGGUGACAACCUGAUGAGGGCGGAAAGCAGAAUUUCUAAAGGCUGAAUUUCAGAAGCUUCCGGAACUAAAGUGAUACGGAAGUUGAGUGAGUCUCGGUCGCAUAUUGCUGCUGCACUUGGUCAAGGCCCUUCUGCUAGUGUUUUCAGACGCCCAGGGAACGCGGCUGCGGGAGCGGUUCUUCGGUUUGCACAGCUAGAGGCCUCGCUGCAGCAAAGGAUGAGCGGAACCUUGGAAAAGGUGCUGUGCCUGAGGAACAAUACCAUUUUAAACCAAGCCUUUUCUCUCUUAAGGUUUAGAACUUCAGGAGAGAAGCCCAUCUAUUCUGUAGGUAAGCAGUUUUUACCGGAUAUAGUUGGCCUGCUUUAAGUGACCCUUUA